UUUUUCUUAGUAGAUUUGAGAUGUACUUUUGGUGCCAGCAAAGACAUGGUAGAAAUAUCCAAAUCUGGAAUUUGUGGUGGUUUCAUACGUCAUUGUAGCUUGCAGCUUAAAAUUCAAAUGUAAAUUUUAUUGCACCUAACCUUUGGUGAUUAGUCUAUGAGAUCAUUGUUCUUGGGAUGAUGUUUAUUUUGAUUUUCUAAGGUUUUUAUGAUUAUUUCUCUGCUUUGAUGUAAGAUUGCAACACCUGCAAGUGAG
RNAcentral lists this unclassified non-coding RNA (255 nucleotides) under Hevea brasiliensis (rubber tree). The record is from RNAcentral. Lineage: Eukaryota; Viridiplantae; Streptophyta; Magnoliopsida; Malpighiales; Euphorbiaceae.